UCUAUCUACUUGACACUAAAUUCAAUACCACCUUCAAUAUCGCAUUCUUAUCACAGGUGUAGCAAAUUUUCAUGUGAACUAGUAGAUUUCAACAAUCGACUUAUGCAUUUUAUUUAUUUUAUACAAGUGUUAUUGGGGUAGGGGGAAUUGAACAUAGAACCUCAUGUGGAUGAGUAAAUGCAGUUAACCAUUUGAGCUAGAAGCCCCUACUUCACAAAUGAA
This is a non-coding RNA of Malus domestica (apple), 222 nucleotides long. NCBI's taxonomy places the organism in Eukaryota, Viridiplantae, Streptophyta, Magnoliopsida, Rosales, Rosaceae. The record is from RefSeq and is a predicted model, not a curated record.